GAUGAACGCUGGCGGCGUGCUUAAUACAUGCAAGUCGAGCGAACAGACGAGGCGCUUGCUCCUCUGACGUUAGCGGCGGACGGGUGAGUAACACGUGGAUAACCUACCUAUAAGACUGGGAUAACUUCGGGAAACCGGAGCUAAUACCGGAUAAUAUAUUGAACCGCAUGGUUCAAUAGUGAAAGACGGUUUUGCUGUCACUUAUAGAUGGUUCCGCGCCGCAUUAGCUAGUUGGUAAGGUAACGGCUUAUCAAGGCGACGAUGCGUAGGCGACCUGAGAGAGGGAUCGGCCGCACUAGAGCUGAGACACGGUCCAGGCUCCUACGAGAGGGAGCAGUAGGGUAUCGGCCGCAAUAGUCGAGAACCUGACGGAACAACGCCGCGUGAGUUGUGAAGAUCUUCGGAUCGUAAAACUCUGUUAUUAGGGAAGAACAAAUGUGUAAGUUACUAUGCACUUCUUGACGGUACCGAAUCAGAAAGCCACGGCUAACUACGUG
This 497-nucleotide ribosomal RNA is filed under the name uncultured bacterium. RNAcentral's name for it is "partial 16S ribosomal RNA". It matches the Rfam family "Bacterial small subunit ribosomal RNA", at positions 28 to 507 of the family's 1533-position model. The record is from RNAcentral.